Molecule: ribosomal RNA, 466 nt
Filed under: uncultured bacterium
Lineage: Bacteria
Description: partial 16S ribosomal RNA
Rfam family: Bacterial small subunit ribosomal RNA
Source: RNAcentral
GAUGAACGCUGGCGGCGUGCUUAACACAUGCAAGUCGAACGGAAAGGCUCCUGCUUGCAGGGGUACUCGAGUGGCGAACGGGUGAGUAACACGUGGGUGAUCUGCCCUGCACUUCGGGAUAAGCCUGGGAAACUGGGUCUAAUACCGGAUAGGACGAUGGUUUGGAUGCCAUUGUGGAAAGUUUUUUCGGUGUGGGAUGAGCUCGCGGCCUAUCAGCUUGUUGGUGGGGUAAUGGCCUACCAAGGCGUCGACGGGUAGCCGGCCUGAGAGGGUGUACGGCCACAUUGGGACUGAGAUACGGCCCAGACUCCUACGGGAGGCAGCAGUGGGGAAUAUUGCACAAUGGGCGCAGGCCUGAUGCAGCGACGCCGCGUGGGGGAUGACGGCCUUCGGGUUGUAAACUCCUUUCGCUAGGGACGAAGCGCAAGUGACGGUACCUGGAGAAGAAGCACCGGCUAACUACGUG